RNAcentral lists this ribosomal RNA (684 nucleotides) under Rhizopus arrhizus. RNAcentral's name for it is "eukaryotic LSU rRNA". It matches the Rfam family "Eukaryotic large subunit ribosomal RNA", at positions 39 to 653 of the family's 3401-position model. Lineage: Eukaryota; Fungi; Mucoromycota; Mucoromycetes; Mucorales; Rhizopodaceae. The record is from RNAcentral.
CAUAUCAAUAAGCGGAGGAAAAGAAAAUAACAAUGAUUUCCCUAGUAACGGCGAGUGAAGAGGAAAGAGCUCAAAGUUGGAACCUGUUUGGCCUAGCUAAACCGGAUUGUAGACUGUAGAAGUGUUUUCCAGGCAAGCCGAGUAAAUAAGUCCUUUGGAACAGGGCAUCAUAGAGGGUGAGAAUCCCGUCUUUGGCUUGAGCAUUUGCCUUUUGUGAUACGCUUUCAAAGAGUCAGGUUGUUUGGGAAUGCAGCCUAAAUUGGGUGGUAAAUCUCACCUAAAGCUAAAUAUUGGCGAGAAACCGAUAGCGAACAAGUACCGUGAGGGAAAGAUGAAAAGAACUUUGAAAAGAGAGUUAAACAGUAUGUGAAAUUGUUAAAAGGGAACCGUUUGGAGCCAGACUGGCUUGUCUGUAAUCAAUCUAGGCUUCGGCCUGGAUGCACUUGCAGGCUAUGCCUGCCAACGACAAUUUGACUUGAGGGAAAAAACUAGGGGAAAUGUGGCCCACUUGUGGGUGUUAUAGUCCCUUAGAAAAUACCUUGGGUUGGAUUGAGGAACGCAGCGAAUGCUUAUUGGCGAGUUUUCCAGGAAGGUUUUCUGAGGUACUACGGUAUCAAGGUUGAUCUUUUUGGUUAUACUUCUAUUCGCUUAGGUUGUUGGCUUAAUGACUCUAAAUGACCCGUC